Molecule: ribosomal RNA, 239 nt
Filed under: uncultured bacterium
Lineage: Bacteria
Description: partial 16S ribosomal RNA
Rfam family: Bacterial small subunit ribosomal RNA
Source: RNAcentral
CCUUCGGGUAGUGGAUAGUGGCAGACGGGUGAGUAACGCGUGGGAACGUGCCUUUCGGUUCGGAGUAACUCAGGGAAACUUGGGCUAAUACCGGAUACGCCCUUCGGGGGAAAGAUUUAUCGCCGAAAGAUCGGCCCGCGUCAGAUUAGCUUGUUGGUGAGGUAAUGGCUCACCAAGGCGACGAUCUGUAGCUGGUCUGAGAGGAUGAUCAGCCACACUGGGACUGAGACACGGCCCAG